UAAAGGGAGAUCUUUAGAACUAAGGAUAACACUUGGAGUAUGGGAGAAAGGGGAGGAUAUAAGCUUAAUUUUCACAAGAAACAAAGCUUUAUACCUAUCAUCUGCCUGGCCUUAGCAGCUGUCUCAUAGUUUCAGCAGAAAUAUUUAUCUUCUGUCAGAAACUAGCAGAUGGCUGAAUACCAACCUGGUAAAAGCAAGCAGGAAUUAAGGACUUAAGCUGGAAAUCUGCUGUGGUCUUCAUUUCUUCUCUGACCUCAACCCCAUUGGCUUCAAAGAUCUACCUCCAACCUUCCUUCUCACAACUCAUCCAAAUUACCCAGCCUCCAACACUAACAGGCAUUAGCUGUGAAAAUACCAGCUGAACAGGACACAAAACAGGCAAUAGACAUCCAUCACACUCUCUCUAAGUCCAGAGAAGAAAAAGAAACCAAGGAACAAAACGCUCAUUCAACAAAGACAAAUCCAGAAACCAGCACCUGAACCUUUAAUUAUCCCAAACCCAGCUGUGGAGGUACCAGCAUAAAAACACAACAACAGCAAGGUAAAUAUGUGUGCAUUAGAACCCAGCUAUCUUACCACAGCAGGCCUUGAAAAUUCCAAAAUACCUGAACCACAAAAAAAAAAAAGCAGUCUUUACGAAUAUGAUAGAGGUCCUUCAA
Molecule: non-coding RNA, 659 nt
Organism: Peromyscus maniculatus bairdii (prairie deer mouse)
Lineage: Eukaryota; Metazoa; Chordata; Mammalia; Rodentia; Cricetidae
Source: RefSeq, a predicted model, not a curated record